UAAAUGACUGAGUCCCAAAUAGGAUUGCAAUCAAAGUUUACAAUUUAUUAAACAAAUAGAGGCAAGCAAACAGCGCUGGGUGUGCCAGGAGUCUCUGCUCCACCCGGACGCACACCUGUUACGUAAGGCGGCUGGUUUUUAUGCUCCUAGGCUAAUACAUAUUCAUUACUACUUCUAGAAGAGGCAGGGUUAUUAUAAUUGGUUUCCAGAAUCCGAAACCCUCCCAGGGGCGCCUGCGUAUCAGUCUCUGUGACUUUCUCUGGGGCC
Long non-coding RNA from Cygnus olor (mute swan), 267 nucleotides. RefSeq lists it as uncharacterized. NCBI's taxonomy places the organism in Eukaryota, Metazoa, Chordata, Aves, Anseriformes, Anatidae. The transcript is spliced from 3 exons. The record is from RefSeq and is a predicted model, not a curated record.